GUGUACAUGUAUGUAUGUGUGUGUGAGAUUAUUUGAGUGUACCUCAUUAGUGUUUAUUAUGCUAGUAUCAGCACAAUACUAAUACAAUUUAAAUGUCAUUCAUUGCCUUGUUUUUAAUUCUAUUUUUUGAUUUCUUGAAGACAUGGAUGGUACUUAUGCCAAUGUUUCACAGAAACCCAAUGUUAUGCUGAAGCCAGUGGGUCCAAAAACUUAGAAUUGAUACCACCAAACUUGGAUGGUGCUUAUGUUAAUGUUUGGAAGUGUCUUGGUGGUUACCAGUGAAGGUCCAUGCUUUUCAGAUGAACAAGAACUUAGAACUUAGUAUUAUUGUAUUUCACACCUAGAACUAAGUGGAAUCUUGUGGACAACCCAUGUCAGUCUCCUUGUCAUCAUUUCAUAGACACUUUUGCAAACAUUGCAGACUUGAGUAAAUAUCUAAUACUACCAUAACAUUAUAGGUCUCUAUUAUAUGCUGUAACUGCAUUAUUUUUGUAUUCACAGCAUUGACAAAUACUUGAUUUAUUUUUAAUCUUUGUAAAUAUCUAUCCAUGACUAAACAUUUGCAUCAAUGAAGUAAACUCAGUUAAAUUUCUGUAUCCCUUUCUUCCUAUGAGUCAUCAUCAGCUAAACAUACUAUGCAUAUUUAACAACAUUGCUGUGAAUAUUACCAAUUUUUGGAAUUAUCAUCAUCAUCAUCAUUGUCCAUGUCUGUUGUCCAUUCUGGCAUGGGUUUGACGGUUUGACUGGGCUGGCACACUGGAAGGCUGCACCAGGAUCUUGUCUGGUUUGGCAUGGUUUUCUAUGGCUGGAUGCCCUUCCUAACAUCAACCACUCUGAGAGUGUAAUGGGUGCUCUUACGUGCCACUGGUAUGGAUGCUAUUUGUGUGACACCGGUAUCUUCCACAACUGCGAUUUUGCUCAGCUUGAUGCGUCUUCUUCUCAAGCACAACAUAAUGCCAAAGGUCUUGGUCAUUGCUUCCGUGAGGCCCAAUGCUCAAAAGAAGCUCAGCCACCUCGCUUCUGUGAAGCCCAACACUUGAAAGGAACUCAGCCACUUUGCCUCUAUGCGGGCUAAGAGUUCAACCACUUUGCCUCCAUGAGGCUCAAUGCUCAAGAGGAAUUCAGCCACCUCACCUCUGUGAGGCCCAACACUCAAAAGGAGCUCAGCCACUUUGCCUCCAUCAGGCCCAACGCUCAAAAGCUACUCAGCCUCUUUGUCUCCAUGGGGCUCAAUGUUCAAAGAUUGAUUUUUUUAUGUGCCACCAGCACAUGUGCACUUGGCUUGAUGGGUCCUCUUCAGAAGACUACAUUGCCAAAGGUCUCAAUCACUUAGUCAUUGCCUCUGGGAAGUUUAAAGUUCGAAGGUCAUGCUUCACUACUUUGUCCCAUGUCUUCCUAGGUCUACCUCUACCACAGGUGCCUUCCGCAGUUAGAGAUCAGCACUUCUUUACACAACUGUCCACAUCCAUCCGCAUCACAUGACCAUAGCAAUGCAGUUGUCUCUCUUGCACACCACAUCUGAUUCCUCUUAUACCUAACUUUUCUCUUAAGAUGCUUACACUCUGCCGAACAUGCACACUGAUAUUGCACAUUCAGCGAAGCAUACUGGCUUCAUUUCUUUGAUGCCUACACAUGUCCUUGGCUGUCAUAGUCCAGGUUUCACUGCCAUGGAGCAUAACUGUUUACACACAGGCAUCAAAUCUGCCUUUCAUUCUGAGGGAGAAGCCCUUUGUUGCCAGCAUGGGUAGGAGCUCUCUGAACUUUGCCCAGCCUAAUCUUAUUCUCACAGUUACACUCAUGGAACAACCACCUCUACUAUUACCUGGUCGCCUAGAUACGGGAAGCUAUCUAGUACCUCUGGCUUGUUCCCCUUGGCAGUUGAUGGAGUCUAUUUUCUGCACAUGUUCAGCAUUUAUUAUGCCUGUGCACCUUCCACAUACAAAAGUUAGUUUCUCUGUUUACCUUCCUUUGAUGUUGCUGCACCUUUUGUGUGUCCAAAGCUUACACUGGGCGCAUCUUAUGAAGUUUCUACCUCCACCUUUUCUACAGAUUGAGCAGGGCCAUCUACCUGAGGGGAUUUGUGAUUUGUCUACCUUCCAAUUUACUAUGACUUUGGUUUCUGCUAGGUUAACUCUAAGACCCUUUGAGUCUAGACUUUGUUUCCAUACCUGGAACUUCUUCUCUAGUUCUGGUAGUGAUUCAGUUAUAAGAGCAAGGUCAUCAGCAUAGAGGAGUUUCCAGCGGCAGCCUGUCUUGAAUUCCUCCAUUAUUGCCUGGAGGAAUAUGAUGAACAAGAGUGGGCUGAGCACCAAUCCUAGGUGAACCCCUACUUGUACCCUGAAUUCUUUGCUGUACUCGUUGCCUACUCUCACCUUACUGGUCAUGUCCCUGUACAUGGCUUGCACAGCUCUCACCAACCACUCAUCUAUCCCUAGUUUCUACAUCCCUAGUUUAAGCACCUCAGUGGUGAUUCCUGAUGGGCUGGGUGGUUUUCCCUGUCUUCAUAUCCUUAAUUGCUUUAUCUACCAGGGUACUGUCAAUUUGGAUAGCUGGUCCCUCAGUUGGGUCAACAUUUGGCAGACUCUCCUUC
Molecule: long non-coding RNA, 2590 nt
Organism: Octopus bimaculoides (California two-spot octopus)
Lineage: Eukaryota; Metazoa; Mollusca; Cephalopoda; Octopoda; Octopodidae
Source: RefSeq, a predicted model, not a curated record